This 497-nucleotide ribosomal RNA is filed under the name uncultured bacterium. RNAcentral describes it as "partial 16S ribosomal RNA". It matches the Rfam family "Bacterial small subunit ribosomal RNA", at positions 28 to 507 of the family's 1533-position model. The record is from RNAcentral.
GAUGAACGCUGGCGGCGUGCCUAAUACAUGCAAGUCGAGCGAACGGACGAGAAGCUUGCUUUUCUGAUGUUAGCGGCGGACGGGUGAGUAACACGUGGAUAACCUACCUAUAAGACUGGGAUAACUUCGGGAAACCGGAGCUAAUAUCGGAUAAUAUUUUGAACCGCAUGGUUCAAAAGUGAAAGACGGUCUUGCUGUCACUUAUAGAUGGAUCCGCGCUGCAUUAGCUAGUUGGUAAGGUAACGGCCUACCAAGGCAACGAUGCAUAGCCGACCUGAGAGGGUGAUCGGCCACACUGGAACUGAGACACGGUCCAGACUCCUACGGGAGGCAGCAGUAGGGAAUCUUCCGCAAUGGGCGAAAGCCUGACGGAGCAACGCCGCGUGAGUGAUGAAGGUCUUCGGAUCGUAAAACUCUGUUAUUAGGGAAGAACAUAUGUGUAAGUAACUGUGCACAUCUUGACGGUACCUAAUCAGAAAGCCACGGCUAACUACGUG